UACGUAGGGGGCUAGCGUUGUCCGGAAUCAUUGGGCGUAAAGCGCGUGUAGGCGGCUCGGUAAGUCCGCUGUGAAAGUCCAGGGCUCAACCCUGGGAUGCCGGUCGAUACUGCCGGACUAGAGUUCGGAAGAGGCGAGUGGAAUUCCCGGUGUAGUGGUGAAAUGCGUAGAUAUCGGGAGGAACACCAGUGGCGAAGGCGACUACCUGGCCUGUUCUUGACGCUGAGGCGCGAAAGCUAGGGGAGCAAACGGG
This 253-nucleotide ribosomal RNA is filed under the name uncultured bacterium. Its description in RNAcentral is "partial 16S ribosomal RNA". It matches the Rfam family "Bacterial small subunit ribosomal RNA", at positions 524 to 776 of the family's 1533-position model. The record is from RNAcentral.